This 564-nucleotide ribosomal RNA is filed under the name Vanrija humicola. RNAcentral's name for it is "LSU rRNA". It matches the Rfam family "Eukaryotic large subunit ribosomal RNA", at positions 61 to 618 of the family's 3401-position model. The record is from RNAcentral. Lineage: Eukaryota; Fungi; Basidiomycota; Tremellomycetes; Trichosporonales; Trichosporonaceae.
GAAACUAACAAGGAUUCCCCUAGUAGCGGCGAGUGAAGCGGGAAGAGCUCAAAUUUGUAAUCUGGCGUCUUUCAGGCGUCCGAGUUGUAAUCUAUAGAAGUGUUUUCCGUGCUGGACCAUGUCCAAGUCCCUUGGAACAGGGUAUCAAAGAGGGUGACAAUCCCGUACUUGACAUGACCACCAGUGCUCUGUGAUACACUUUCUACGAGUCGAGUUGUUUGGGAAUGCAGCUCAAAAUGGGUGGUAAAUUCCAUCUAAAGCUAAAUAUUGGCGAGAGACCGAUAGCGAACAAGUACCGUGAGGGAAAGAUGAAAAGCACUUUGGAAAGAGAGUUAAACAGUACGUGAAAUUGUUGAAAGGGAAACGAUUGAAGUCAGUCGUGUUCAUUGGACUCAGCCGGUUUUCGGUGUAUUUCCUUUGAACGGGUCAACAUCAGUUUUGUCCGGUGGAUAAAGGCAGGAAGAAAGUGGCUCCCUCGGGAGUGUUAUAGCUUUCUGUCACAUACACUGGAGGAGACUGAGGACUGCAGCUCGCCUUUUGGCCGGGGUUCGCCCACGUUCGAGC